GGAUGUGAAGGUGAUCCGGCUGCAACAUCUGUCACCCAGUUGACCACCAGAGUUGAUUUGUGUGAUCUGGCUGGCUACGCAGGUGUCCCCUUCUUUCCUAAUGCUCCAUGUGCAUCCCUUCCAAAGCUGUGUGCUUGGUCACAGAGAACGACCACCCCCGAUGGAGGAGGUCUGUUCCUCAGUCAAGGGUGUACGAGUAGUUGUGCUCCCUGCUGGAACUUCCAAACAAGCUCUCACUGUGAACUUAUGAUACAUGCGCGGUAGAUUGACAGCUGCUGGUCAACUUGCAACAUUCUGCU
Molecule: small nuclear RNA, 299 nt
Filed under: Octodon degus (degu)
Lineage: Eukaryota; Metazoa; Chordata; Mammalia; Rodentia; Octodontidae
Description: 7SK RNA (ENSODEG00000024809.1)
Rfam family: 7SK RNA
About the family: 7SK was discovered as an abundant small nuclear RNA in the mid-70s but a possible function has only recently been suggested. Two independent studies have found that 7SK RNA binds the CDK9/cyclin T complex (known as elongation factor P-TEFb).
Source: Rfam by way of RNAcentral